UUUGUCCUAUUGUUUAAUGUGAUUGGACUUUGAACUUGAUAUAUUGUCUGUGUGCAACAUUUCAUGAUUGAUAUAAAGAUGUUUGUCCAGAACAGUUUAACUUUUGUUCAAUAAAUCCUGCUGGAAAGACCUUAAACUCUCCUUAGAACAGAAAGGACUGUGAGGGAAAAUUUUAAAUUGCUAUCCACGUGAAUUCUACAGUGCAAUUGUGGUCCUGUACAGCAAGACAAUAUCAACAGUGGCAUCAUUUAUUAACCCUCACCAGCAAAACCGCAUCGAGGAACCACCCAGAAUGGCAUCUGCUUUUAAUCAUCUUGAAAAGGAACUGAUUAAACUCUUCGACAGUGAUUACCCUCAGCUCCAGCAGUGCAUAAAGAAUCUGCAAUGUAUCCUCAGAACAUUUAAUGAGAAUAAGAGAACUGCUGAAAAAGGUUCUAAAGAUGGAAAAAUAGCUGGAGCAGCUGGAGGUACUGCACUGGCUGUGGGACUAGUUUUGGCUCCAUUUACACUGGGGAUUUCUGCUCUUAUCGGUGGAGCAGGAGCAGCGGUGGCAACAGGUGGUGCGAUUGGGAGUGGAGUAUGGAAUAAGAAGAUAGCGGACCAGGAGGCACAGUUCAAAAAAGACGCUGAAGCUGAAUUGAGAGCAUUUCAAGAUAAAAUCAUCCCUAUGGCUGAAAAGAUCAAAUGUAUUAAUCAGUGUAUUGAGGAAAUAUCCAGAGACCUUAAUAACCCUGAAAACAACGUCAGUUACUUAAGUAAAUAUUCUAGCUCUGAGUUAGUGCACUUCAUAAAGAUGUAUGAUUCUGGUGGAUUGGCUGUACAGAUUUCCAAAAGUGUGCAUUUUACUAAAGAAAUCACAGACAUUUUGUCUAGGGUUACUACGGAUAUCGUUCAAAAGAUCACUGAUUUACAGCCUCACAUCAGUCUGUUAGAGGACAUGAUGAGAGAAAUUAAGAAAACAACAGACAAAAUGGCAAAACAUUAGGUUUCAAAUCAGUGAAUACAUCUUUCAUGUAAAAAAAAAAAAUUGAUUAAACACAUCGUAAAAACAGUAAUAUUGUGAAUUUAACUACAGGCAUAAUUCUAUGUGAUUGCAUUGUAAAAUGUAAUUUAUCUCUGUAAACUGAAUUUUCAGCAUUAUUACUCAUUAAUUUCACAUGAUCUUCAGAAAUCAUAAUAUACUGUUUUGCUUCUCAAGAAACAUUUCUGAUUAUUACCAAUGUUGUGCUGCCCAAUAUAUUGUGGAAAGAUUAAAUUCAUCAGUAGUUUUUUUAAUAGAACUUGCAAAAGAGCAGUAUUUUAGAUUUUUUUUAAAUCAAUUUAAAAAUCUUUAUUGUAACUUAUCAAAUUAAUAUUUUCUGUAUAAACAUAAUUUUUCAAGACAAUAAAUCUUUAAAAUAUUGAAAAUGAAAACAGUGACCAAUUAUAACCACAUUAGAACAACCAAAAAUGUAAAUUCUGUCAUUAAUUACUCGCCCUCAUGUUGCUCCAAACCCAUAAGAC
Long non-coding RNA from Carassius auratus (goldfish), 1503 nucleotides. RefSeq lists it as uncharacterized. The record is from RefSeq and is a predicted model, not a curated record. NCBI's taxonomy places the organism in Eukaryota, Metazoa, Chordata, Actinopteri, Cypriniformes, Cyprinidae. The transcript has 3 exons.